UUCGCAAUGCCCGAAAGGGUGACGAAGCGACACCGCGUGUGGGAAGAAGGCCUUCGGGUUGUAAACCACUGUCGGGAGUUAAGAAAUGCAAGAAUGUUAAUAGCGUUUUUGCUUGACUAAGGCUCCGGAGGAAGCCACGGCUAACUCUGUGCCAGCAGCCGCGGUAAUACAGAGGCGGCAAGCGUUGUUCGGAAUUAUUGGGCGUAAAGAGCACGUAGGCGGCUAUAUAAGUCGGUUGUGAAAGCCUUCCGCUCAACGGGAGAACAGCAUCCGAUACUGUGUGGCUUGAGUGUGGGAGGGGAGAGCGGAACUUCUGGUGGAGCGGUGAAAUGCGUAGAUAUCAGAAGGAACGCCGGCGGCGAAAGCGGCUCUCUGGCCCAUAACUGACGCUGAGUGUGCGAAAGCUAGGGGAGCAAACGGGAUUAGAUACCCCGGUAGUCCUAGCCGUAAACGAUGGGCACUAAGUAGAGGGGUUU
RNAcentral lists this ribosomal RNA (476 nucleotides) under uncultured Planctomycetales bacterium. RNAcentral describes it as "bacterial SSU rRNA". It matches the Rfam family "Bacterial small subunit ribosomal RNA", at positions 365 to 831 of the family's 1533-position model. Lineage: Bacteria; Pseudomonadati; Planctomycetota; Planctomycetia; Planctomycetales. The record is from RNAcentral.